This is a long non-coding RNA of Choloepus didactylus (southern two-toed sloth), 1435 nucleotides long. RefSeq lists it as uncharacterized. Lineage: Eukaryota; Metazoa; Chordata; Mammalia; Pilosa; Megalonychidae. The record is from RefSeq and is a predicted model, not a curated record. The transcript is spliced from 3 exons.
GAAUACUGAGUUGCUUCUUCUGCUCUCAUGUCUUGGAAAUCCUCAAGGAUACUAGUGGAGAACACAACCCUGAUCCAUCUACAGGAAGUAUGAGCUUUCAAGACAUUGAAAAGCAGUGCUUUCAAACUGGAGAAAUCACAGGCUACUCUCUUAACCAACUGGACCAGGACAUUAAUUUGCUAUUGGACAAAAGGCAAACCAUUUGAUUUCUGAACAUUUCAGUUUCCUUUCCUAUAAACUGAGAUAUCAAAGAAAAUUAACGACAUUUUGCUGAAACUUAAUGCAAAUGUGUUGUGGUCAGCUACAUUUUCAACAUCAAGUCUGGAUGGCUAAUUUGAACAAUGCCCUUAAUCAAAGGACACUUAACUGAGAAGAAAUAUUGUCGAAGAACCUUAAGGGCCAUAUAAAUACUGGAAGGUUGCUGUGUGUCCUGGCUGGACAGGAGAGCAAAGCAGAAACCCACAGCAAGGCAGUACAGAGAAGGAAGCUUUUAGGCUGAGCAACCAUGGCAGGGAAGCUCUUGGGCCAGUUGUCCCAAGUAUGGUAGUCACAUCUUGGUGAGAUGAUGGGAUGCUGCAUUGCACCUACUGUCAAAGUAUUUAUUCAGUGUCUGAACAUCACUAGACCCCAAGAAGUACACACAACUGGUAAUGAUAUAAGGCAAGCCAGCUGGGCAGUAACGGAAUGCUGCUCCUAGCCAAGUUCAUGAACCAAGUAAACAACUUCACAGUAUACCAGUUUCAGAAUAAUUUGGGCAUAGCAGGUAUUGAGCAUUCUAAACAAAGGAAUGUUAUUUAUGUAUUCAUGAGUCUACCACAUGAAAAAAGAAAGUAUCAAAUGUAGUUCCUUCUUUGGGAUUUAAGAAAAAGAUUUGAAAAGAGAAAAUUCAAAUGACCUAGGACUUCUGUAGCUUAAAACUAAAGAGAUAGUUGCUGAGGAAAAAUAAGAACAUCACAAAAUCACAGAUAUAGAAAGGUCUCUGGCAUCCAGCAUCCAGCCUCCAAACAAGACUCAAGAGCCAUAAUACUUUUCAAGACCACCAGAAGCACCACACUCACUUCUGAUAGUACAACCCCAGUAUCUUUUUAAUCAAAAGGGACUUAGGUUUAAUUUACUUUAUUAAUUUACCUUGCUUCUGCAGGGAACUAAGAUACAAUAGUGGUUAAGAGCAUUGGUUUAAAAAGAAAGAAGAGAAUAUAGCCAGACUUGAGUUCAAAUCCCCUAACUAUACAAGUUAGCACAAGCUAUACUCUAAUUGACCUUAAAGAGUCAAGUGCAAGUAACUUGACUCUUUAAGCCUCAGUUUCCCCCUCUGUAAAAUCAAGAUAACAAUAUUUAGCUGUCGGUGUUGUAGUAUGUCAAGCACAUGGUAAGUGUUCAAAACUGAUAGAUAUUAUUAUUAAUAUUUAAUCCUAUUAAAUAUUCUGGUCACUGU